This 2182-nucleotide long non-coding RNA is filed under the name Cavia porcellus (domestic guinea pig). RNAcentral's name for it is "lncRNA (ENSCPOG00000036342.1)". Lineage: Eukaryota; Metazoa; Chordata; Mammalia; Rodentia; Caviidae. The record is from RNAcentral.
AUGGGAAGAAGGAGACCUAAACUGAAGCCCAAAGCCCAGGGACGGCAGACAACUCCAGGCCCAAGGACAUCCGGUAACACAACAGCAGGCCCCGAUACUGGAGGGGACUGGGCAGCUUUCAAAACAGCUUUUGGGGAAAUUCCUGUGCAAGUCCACCUGGAGGAGAGUCCUGGCAUCAAAGCUUCCAAGGCAUGCCAGGGCCACUGGGUCUCUCCAACCCCAAGAGCUGGGCCACCAGCAUCUCCUCCCACCUGCCUGCCACACUUGGGCUGCUGCUCGAGGGCUGCACUGCGUCCUGCCCCACUCCACCGUGGUUACCUUGGCACUGGGCAGAGCGGUAAGCACUUAAUUGCCACAUUAAGAAAGGGGGAUGUAAGAAACAAAGGUAAUUGUGUUGGCAGCUGGGAGCUUCCUUUUCCUGGCAACGGUGGCAGCCAAACCAAGCCCUGAGAAGCGGCUGCCUCCUCUCCUGCCAAGCUGACGGACACAAACAAACCGACAUCCGAACGGCACGCGUGCGGCAUCCAAAAGCCCAGGCCUCUGCGACAGGCGGGCGGGCCGGAGGUGCACACAUCCUGGGGACACCCGGCGUGCCAGUACAGCCAUUGUGUGUGCCAGUCGGCCCCGGGUCUGUCGGGCCCUUUACUCUGCUGACUCAACUGUUGCUUCCUGUCACUUGUCCUGUAUUAGCAGUAUUUUUGGAGAGGCCCCAUUCUUCUCUAUAAUCCUCCUUUCAGUCAGUUCGGCCAACUCUAUUGUCCUGCCUGAGUCUGGGUGGCCAGAGUAUAAAAUACUCAUUGCAGAAACAUAUUACACACACACACACACACACACACACACACACACGCACGCACACACACCCUCACUCAAAGGUUUUGGAGUCCAUGUGUGAGCACACAUACACAUUCUCACACAAUUUACCUAUCUCGACACUCUGGUGAGGUUAGAGAUGGAGAAAGGAUCUCUACUCUCUUGCCUGCAAGCUAAGGCUCCAGUCCUAGAAAGCAAUCAAGUCUGCUGGGCUUGACAUGUCAAUAGAGUCCGAUCUGGUUACAAAAAGUGAUUUUCUCAUCAAAGCCCACCUCAAAGGCUUUCCAAGCCGUACCAGAGCUCACAUCCAGAUUUGACUCAAAGAGAGGCCCCUACGCUUUUCCCAUCAUUACCCUUACCUGUUUGAAAGGCAUCCCACUGAUAAUUAAAUGCACCAGUUACAAAAGGGUGGUGAGGUUAAUAGAUAGAAUACCGAGAAGCCAGCCAAGCACAACGGUCCAGUUCACACAGAGCAAGCCCGAACAAGAAGCCUUUCUACUUAUUUACCAAAAGUGCAUAAAAACUGGGCUGAACUGGUCCAAGACUGGAUGUUUGAAUAUUUACCUACCCCUUUUAACCGCUGGGAACCACUUGCAGAAUUUCUUUCCUGCACAUGCACUGUGUCACAACAGAUGUCAACGACACCAUAAAAAUCAGGGCACGGACUGCAGUGUCCAGGGAAGGAUCAGAAACCAGCAAAAAUUUACAGCCCAGACACUUAGCAAAAAUAGGACACUUCUGAAACCAGGACUCCCUACCAUGUCCAUCACCAUUCUAGAAUCUUCACUUUCCACAUUUCCUCAAGUACAUUCCAACAACUGAUAAAGGUUAAUUGUUUGCUUCUAGUUUAAAAAAAAAAAAAAUUAAAAACUGUAACCAAGCAGGGUAUCUCCCAGCAGCCUGGAUCCUAACUUUGGGGGGAUGCCUCUAGAAGCUUACCCAGGGAGAAUUCUCAGGCAUAUUUGCUUUUAUGGAUUACAAAGCUAAUUGUAUGCAUAUCCAGAGAUUAUGUAGUCUUACGCUGUCACUAAUCUUGAAAGCCUGACAUUGGCUUUCAUUGACAAGGGACCAAUUCUGGCCCUUUUACAGUACAGCCAAUGGCUGCAGAUCAAGAACACGAGAACUCCAAGUUGCAUUAGCUCUGCCUUUUUCUUAUGCUAGAGUUCCCAUGUGUGCCUCCUUCCUAAAGCUCCCUGAAGGCACCACUAUUUGGCAUAAGAUUCAAGGCAGCAUUCAGAUUGCUGGUUUUCUGAAGGGUUGCAGCCUGUAAAUUGUUGCUGCCUCUCUCCCUUACUCACCAGCCCCAAUAGUCUGUUCCAAAGCAUCACCACUUUCUACAAACAUUUUAAGUCUCUCCAGAAUUAUGGGUGUG